This is a long non-coding RNA of Trematomus bernacchii (emerald rockcod), 421 nucleotides long. RefSeq lists it as uncharacterized. Lineage: Eukaryota; Metazoa; Chordata; Actinopteri; Perciformes; Nototheniidae. The transcript is spliced from 3 exons. The record is from RefSeq and is a predicted model, not a curated record.
GAGUGAUUUAAAAGAUGAGGAAGAGGACAGAUCUUCAGUCUUCAGCCGUCUGUCUCUGAAGAGUGACCGGUCUAAACACUAUCCUCUAAACUUCAGAAAUGAACCUGGACCCUCAGACACAAAAGGGAAGAGCAAAAGUCGUGUUCCUGUGGAGGAGCAUCUGUGCAGCAGUGCUGUAUGUCAGGACGUCCUGAAGGAUCAAGUCUCUACCAGCUGUGGACACUGGUUCUGCAGACAGUGCAUCUCCUCAUACUGGGACCAGCCAACUCCAUCAGGAGACUCCAGCUGUCCUCAAUGUGGAGAAAGAUGCAGCAUUAUACAAACAGAUAUUGGUCUGGAGGAGGUUUUAGAUGAACAUAGGAUCAGUCUGAGGAGGAGGUGUGAACGUGUGACUGAAGGAACUGAUAAAAGUGAAAUCCUC